This is a long non-coding RNA of Eriocheir sinensis (Chinese mitten crab), 2699 nucleotides long. RefSeq lists it as uncharacterized. The record is from RefSeq and is a predicted model, not a curated record. The transcript is spliced from 4 exons. Lineage: Eukaryota; Metazoa; Arthropoda; Malacostraca; Decapoda; Varunidae.
UAAUUAAUGUCUAAGUUAUCCUUUGAGUGACGUUCUUUCUGGUGGUCAAAUCUUGCAUCCUAUUUCCUAUCGUCCAUUCUCUCUCUUCCUCCUUCUCCUCCUCCUCUGGCUAUCUUCAUCCCUUCCUUCCUUUUAAGUAAUGUCUAAGUUAUCUAUCGCUCAAGGUUCCUUCCAGUGUGUUUGUGGUGCCCGGCUCUGCUUGCUAGUUUGUUUUGUCAUUGUAUAAUUGUCAAUCCUAGUUUUUGUCAUUGUAUAAUUGUCAAUCCUAGUUUUUGUCAUUGUAUAAUUGUCAGUCCUAGUUUGCUUUGUCCCUGUAUAAUGGUCGGUCCCAGCCAGGCGCCUCUUCCAUGUAAAGAUAUCGGCAGCUUCAAGCCUUGCCGAUAUCUCAAUCCGUACGUGAAUGUAAAUUAACCGAAAUCCUUGUUACUAAGCCCUGCACGGUGCUCUCUCACAUAAUGCUUCUUUAAAUUUUCAGUCUCACUUAAUUUCCGGGGUUAGUAAUAUAUUUUGCCAUAAGUUAACUCCCCGUGAUGGCCAGUUUCAUGUACUAUAUAUAAGUAAUUUGCCUUUUGCAUGGCUAUAAUUCUGCAUCUGUGUCUAAGGCCCAGUUUCACAGUUCCUCAUGAUGGGUUAGUAAGCUCCGAAACCAAUACCAGAGCCUUCGAAAUUUCCUUGUACGGUGUCUGGAGUUUAUAUUCAAGUUCACAAAUUUGACGAGACUAUACAGGAAAGGUCUUGUGUGUUUAUGGUACGAAGGAAAGGGAGGAGAAGGGAGAUGAGAUUGGGAGACGAGUGAGCCGAGAUCCUGUUUAUAUUCAAGUUCACAAAUUUGACGAGACUAUACAGGAAAGGUCUUAUAUUGUCAUGAUACGAAGGAAAGGGAAGAGAAGGGAGAUGAGAUUGGGAGACGAGUGAGCUGAGAUCCUGCUUAUAUUCAAGUUCACAAAUUUGACAAGACUAUAUACAGGAAAAGCUGUGUUUAUGGUAUGAAGGAAAGGGAAGAGAAGGGAGAUGAGUAAGCUGAGAUCCUGUUUAUAUUCAAGUCCACAAAUUUGACGACACAAUACAGGAAAAGCUCUUUGUAUUUAGUGUGUCAUCGAAGACCGCGCCAUUUUGAACAGUAUGGGAUUCUAUAGCUUGGUUCGGGAGUGUUACAAAGACCAUGAUGGACUGUGGAAGCGGCCCUUAAUGUUCCCUUUUCUAAUAUGCCUCUCUGUUUUUGCAGGAUGCCGCGGACGGACCAUGCAGAGGACUCAUCGCGACGACACCAACGGUUUGGUUAAGUGGGUUCUCUUGUGUGUGCGUCUGUGUGUGAAUGGCAGGCCUGUCGUAUGAUUGUGUGUGUGUGUGCGUUGGCGUUAUGCCUUCGCACUAUUAUUUUGUUAGGAUGUAUUUUUGUGUGUGAACUUUUUGCACGUAAUCUUUUUUUAUACCCAUAGCUAGCGUUUGUUUGUGUGGCAGUGUUCCGGGAGAUGGACGCCGGGGGACAUGGGCUUGGGGAGGCGCACAUGACCUCCUCUGUCCGUGACCUCUUCAGCUGGGGAGACCGUGUGUUGCCCCGCCUGGAGAGACACGUUGAUGGAGGUGGCCGUGUGUGUCACCCUUUGCCUGUAUCCUCUGGCGUCCAGAGGCGCGUAAGUGGAGAGCAUCGGCGCAGCGCGGGAGCAUCACGUCAGGGUGUAGGGUGUUUGUUUAGCUGGUGUAGGGUGUUAGGGUGUUAGGGUGUUAGGUGUAACAACGGUUGGCUCUUUCACAGAACGGGUGUGAUUCCGUUCUGCGUUUGAGUCUUCCACCUUCAGACGGUCUCCCUCCGAGAUGUCUGAAGUUUUUUUGUCGGUUUUCUCCGUAGGAGGAAGCCGACUCUAGCUACUCUGGCCUCUCUUCCGGGGGUCAGAGCGGUCGGGCUCUGCUUGGCCAGGCGUUGCCUUUCGCGUUGUCUCCGCCGACGUUUUGCCAGACUCUUCCGUACGGUUGAGCCUGGCUUUUUUAUUAGGUGGAUCAGGCUGCCUUCUUCCAAGGAGUCUGAUGGGAGUGGAGUCUUUUUUUUGGUGUAUGUCUGUGGGUACUUAGUGGGUAAGGGAGGGUGGGGUAGAAUGGUUGGUGGGCUGGAAGUGGGUUGGGGGAUGAGCCUCCUGGGAUUUGGGUUGUGUCGAGCCUUACCGCCUGGUGUGUUGGGUAACCUUCACGCCAGGGGGGGGGUGCCAAGACUAUAUCCAUCUCCUGGGCAGGGCGAUUCCCCUUUCCCAUGCUAACUGGCCCUCCUCCGUCUGCCUCCCCAAACCCCCGCUAAGUGCUUGUGUGUGUUAUUUUAUUUAGGAUGUCUUUUUUUUCUAUGCCUUUUUCCCGUGUGUUUAUACCCAAUAGCUAGCGUGUGUGUGUGUGGCAGUCCAGAGGCGCGUGCAGCGAGGACAUCACAUCACGUCACUACGGUAUAUCCACGGUAUUUGGUUUAGUGUGUGCUGUGUGUGUUUGUGUGUGUGAUGGCAGGCCUGCCGUGUGUUUGACCUUUUGCUGUGUGUUGCUGUGUGACUGCUAGGAUUUCAUUUCUAUGUAUGUUUUUUUCCCCAUAACCCCCUUCCUCCCUAGCUCUUUAGCUGUUGUGUGCGAGGCGCUGGGUGGAUGCUGCCGGGCGACCAACGGCGGUGGCGGUGUGCAACGCGGGAGCUGCUGAGGUUUGGGGUAGCACUACGGUGCAGGUU